This 492-nucleotide ribosomal RNA is filed under the name uncultured soil bacterium. Its description in RNAcentral is "bacterial SSU rRNA". It matches the Rfam family "Bacterial small subunit ribosomal RNA", at positions 26 to 526 of the family's 1533-position model. The record is from RNAcentral.
AGGAUGAACGCUGGCGGCGUGCCUAAUACAUGCAAGUCGAACGAGGUACUUUAGUAGCAAUACGAGAGUAUCCUAGUGGCGAACGGGUGAGUAACGCGUUGGUGACCUACCCCAAAGUGUGGGAUAACAGUCCGAAAGGAUUGCUAAUACCGCAUGUGGUCCUCAGGUUUAGAAACUGAUGACUAAAGGAGCAAUUCGCUUUGGGAGGACCUGCGUCCCAUCAGCUAGUUGGUGAGGUAAUGGCUCACCAAGGCUACGACGGGUAGGGGACCUGAGAGGGUGACCCCCCACAAUGGAACUGAAACACGGUCCAUACACCUACGGGUGGCAGCAGUAGGGAAUAUUGCCCAAUGGACGAAAGUCUAGAGGCAGCAACGCCGCGUGCACGAUGAAGGCCUUCGGGUCGUAAAGUGACUUUUCUGGGAGAUGGAGAAAGGCAGUAAUCCCGAAGGAAUAAGUCUCGGACUAACUACGUGACCAGCCAAGCCCGAC